Molecule: RNA transcript, 568 nt
Organism: Elephantulus edwardii (Cape elephant shrew)
Lineage: Eukaryota; Metazoa; Chordata; Mammalia; Macroscelidea; Macroscelididae
Gene name: deoxycytidylate deaminase-like
Exons: 6
Source: RefSeq, a predicted model, not a curated record
AUGGGCGGCGGGCAGCAGUGCGGACCCACCAUGAAUGAAAUUUCCUGCAAAAAACGAGAUGACUAUUUAGAAUGGCCUGAGUAUUUCAUGGCAGUGGCUUUUCUGUCAGCACAGAGAAGCAAAGAUCCAAAUUCCCAAGUCGGAGCCUGCAUUGUGAACACAGAAAACAAGAUUGUUGGGAUCGGUUACAAUGGGAUGCCAAAUGGGUGCAGUGAUGAUUUGCUGCCUUGGAGGAGAACAGCAGAGAAUAAGCUGGAAACCAAGUACCCUUACGUGUGCCAUGCCGAGCUGAAUGCCAUUAUGAACAAAAACUCGGCCGAUGUGAAAGGCUGCACCAUGUAUGUCGCCUUGUUCCCAUGUAAUGAAUGUGCUAAGCUCAUCAUCCAGGCAGGUAUCAAGGAAGUUAUUUUCAUGUCUGAUAAAUACCAUGAUAGCGAUGAGGCAACAGCUGCGAGGCUCAUGUUUGAUAUGGCUGGGGUGACUUUCAGGAAAUUCACGCCAAAGUGCAGCAAGAUUGUCAUUGACUUUGAUUCAAUUAACAGCAAGACCGAGUCAGAAGCUUCAGUGA